AUGAACGCUGGCGGCGUGCCUAAUACAUGCCAGUCGAGCGAACAGACGAGGAGCUUGCUCCUCUGACGUUAGCGGCGGACGGGUGAGUAACACGUGGAUAACCUACCUAUAAGACUGGGAUAACUUCGGGAAACCGGAGCUAAUACCGGAUAAUAUAUUGAACCGCAUGGUUCAAUAGUGAAAGACGGUUUUGCUGUCACUUAUAGAUGGAUCCGCGCCGCAUUAGCUAGUUGGUAAGGUAACGGCUUACCAAGGCAACGAUGCGUAGCCGACCUGAGAGGGUGAUCGGCCACACUGGAACUGAGACACGGUCCAGACUCCUACGGGAGGCAGCAGUAGGGAAUCUUCCGCAAUGGGCGAAAGCCUGACGGAGCAACGCCGCGUGAGUGAUGAAGGUCUUCGGAUCGUAAAACUCUGUUAUUAGGGAAGAACAAAUGUGUAAGUAACUAUGCACGUCUUGACGGUACCUAAUCAGAAAGCCACGGCUAACUACGU
RNAcentral lists this ribosomal RNA (495 nucleotides) under uncultured bacterium. RNAcentral describes it as "partial 16S ribosomal RNA". It matches the Rfam family "Bacterial small subunit ribosomal RNA", at positions 29 to 506 of the family's 1533-position model. The record is from RNAcentral.